AGCAGGGUGUAAGCAGCGUGAAGGUGGGUUGGAGGUAAAGAUUUGGAGCUACUGAUAUUAUCAGAUAAGUGCAUUGGAAACCAUGAGUGUCCAAGAGAUAGACCAGGAGGGAUUCUAAAAUAAGAGAACAAAGAAUAAAUCCUACUAAUUUUAAAAGGUGAAUGAGAUUUAAAUAAAAGCCUAACAGAGAGACAGACACAAAGCAACCCAAGAGUUAACCAAAGAGAUUAUAGAACAAUUGGACGAGUUUUUCCCCAAAAGUCAAUGUGAAGAAACUUUUAGAAGGGAGAGCAUAAUGGUCAGUAUCAAACAUCCACCCUGCCAAAAAACAAACAAACAAACAAACAAACAAAAACAAAAAAAAAAACAAAAAAACAAAAAUCAAGUGAGAUAAAGAUAGGAAGUCCUCCACAGACUUGGAAAUUAGGAGGUUAUUGGUAACCUUUAUAAGAGCAUUAACAAUGGAGUGGCAAGAACACUAGUCAGAUUCAAAUGGGCUUAAAAAAGACUGGUUGUAAAGAAGUGAAGGAUAAAGAGAGACUUUUUUAUAUACAAUAAUUUUUAUUUUUUCAUUAUAACUGGUUUACAGUGUUCUGUCAAUUUUCUACUGUACAGCAUUGUGACCCAGUUACACAUACAUGUAUAGAUUCUCUUUUCUCACAUUAUCAUGCUCCAUCAUAAGUGACUAAAAAUAGUUUCCAGCGCUACACAACAGAACCUCAUUGCUUAUCCAUUGCAAAGGCAAUAAUCUGCAUCUAUUAACCCCAAGUUCCCAAUCCAUCCCGCCCCCCCCCCCCCUUGGCAACCACAAGUCUACUGGUGUCCUUCGAUAGCUCAGCUGGUAGAGUGGAGGACCAUAGGUACAGCAAGGAGAAAGAGAGUCUUAAUGAGGCAGAGAGAUGAAGUUAGGAAGUUAGGAAAAUAUUUUUCAUUGUUUGAAGUAAGGAGAGCCUGGAGUUCCUGUUGUGGCUCAGCAGUAACCCUGACUAGUGUACAUGAGGAUGCGGGUUCGAUCCCUGUCCUUGCUUGCUCAGUGGGUUAAGGAUCCAGCAUUGCCGUGAGCUGUGGUGUAGGCAGGCAGCUGCAGCUCUGAUUUGACCCCUAGCCUGGGAACCUCCAUGUGCCACUGUGCGGCCCUAAAAAAGAAAAUUUAAAAAAAGAGUAAAGAAAGACUGAAGAAAGUGGAUAAUAAACUGUGAUACAAUUUUUCACUCACAGGGCUGACAAUUUACAUUUGCUUAUACAGUCUCUUGACUAAACUGUGGGGAAACAGCUACUCUUGUAUUGUGCAUAUGAGAAUGUAAACUUCUCAUACUCAUUAAAUUUGUUAUAGCCUCCAUUUAAGUCAAUAAUGGGAUGUGUUUCUUAUUAGAAAUGCACAUAAUCUUUUAUCAAGCAUCUCCACUUUUGGAAAUUUACCCUAAACUCACACCUGUGAAACAAUAUAUAUUCAAGAUUAUUUAUUUGUUUAAGACAAAACUGACAUAUCCAUUAAUAGGCAGAUUUAAUUAAUUUAUGAUUAAAGAUGGGGAAAUGAUGUGUUUCUGAAGAUUGAGGGUGUAGAAUGUGGGAAGAAGAGGACAGAAGGAAAAGAUGGUGGCUGGAGAGCUAGAAGGAAUGAGAGAAAAGAAGCUAGGAAAAAGUAAAGGAAGAUAGAGACAAAGGAGAGAGGACACAUCCACCCGUGGGUACAGAGCCACACUGAGGAUGAGAAAGGAACAUGCUUAAGGAAACAGAAAGAGGGAACCCAGACUUAUGGGGAAGCGGGGAACAGAUGAAGUAGAAAGAAACUAAACAUGCUAAGUAGCAAGCUAAGUAUCUUACCUUUGGCUGAGAGGUCCUGGAUAACAGAGGAUGACCUGUCUAACUGGGUGUUUUCUGCAGGUUUAGUGAAGUGCUUUGCAAAUAGUUGGCAUGCAACACAUGUGGUCUUGAAUGAGCUGUGAGUUCAAAAAUGCAUGAACAGCACUUCUGUGUCCACUGUAUUCUAAUUUAUGUUUGAUUUUAAGCUAAUAACAUUAAAAUUUAGCAACCGCACCAAUAGUAAAUCUAGUUGUCAACUUGAUAUGCAUUGUCAGGUUUCACAUAUGGUUAUGGUGAAAAAACUAAGGUGUGGAAAACUUAUAUAGGGUCCUAUAAUUAUGACUUUUUCUUUUUCUUUUGAUGCAUUGACCAUUUCUAGAAGGAAAACAGAGUAUCUAGCAAUACCAACGGAAGAAAUUUAGAGAUUGAAAAUCAAUUUAUUUUCCUUUUAAAAGCUUAAUGACUAUUUUUAGGGCAUAUAUGCAUAGCAUAUACCACUUAGUGAAUGAAAUAUACAAAAUAACCUGUGUGAACACAUGCAAACAUAUUAUCCAGAUACGUAUUCAAAAUGGCUACAUAGCAACUAGCCAGAAUGAGGCGUAGAUAUUUAAUGACACUUUAUGGGAUAUUACCUAAUCAAAACGUGAGUCCGAAUCAAUGAGUCUAUUCAGUUCCACUAAUUUAGGCUUCAGUGAAGUGAACGAGAAGUAGAACAAAUCCUAGGAUAUGGCGUUUUGAAUAUAUAAAUGGUAUCACACUGAGGAUAUGAUUUGAUGUGAUUGACACACAUUUGUCAAUAUAUGACUAUAGAGAAUUCUGAGAAAAUGUUAUUAUAUCAUCUCAAAAUGAAGUUGGAAAAUAUUGACAACUAAGACACUGGGGACACAAAUUGGUAACAGCUAAAGGAAUGACUGCUGGGCAGCCACAAACAUCGCUUCGGGUUGAGAGGAAAUUUGCAUCUUCAUAAUAAGUGCUACACGAAAAGCAGAGCCCCUUUCACAUGCCAUCUUAGCUAUUCAGCCUAUUCUUAUCUUCUAUCUGGAAUCCCGCCUAGUAAGAAUGGGAAAUUCUUCAUUCAGUUUGCCAAUUAUAUCUACCAUGUGCAGGCGACACAGAGCACUGGCGAACAUUCAGAAGCCUGAGGAUUGAAUUCAUUGGUGGAGCAUGGUCACCUUUGUUCAGCAAUCCAGGAAGCUUUGCUGGCUUUAAUAAUACAUGAGGAGGCAUGAAGGGAAGACGGGCCUCGGCUGCUUUUCAGAUUCUUGUGUUGACUGCAUGCAUGCUGCCAUGAACCACGGAAAGCCCCAUCUCCAGCCUCUGUUUGGAAGCCUAAGUGAGGAAACAAGGCUUGGAGAAAUUUGCAUUUAGAGGAGUGAUUUUUUUUUUUUUUGCAAUAAAAAUUACUCAGGAAGGAAUAGUUACAUUAUGGCCAAGCAUUCAUGAGUUAUACAGAAACCCUUCUCUAACAGAAUAAAAUUAGAAAAUACAGUUAAAAAUGUAAUAACAUAGCUUUAACAAUUAGCUAAAAAAUGAAACUCUUGUGCUGGAGAAGGAACUCUAAGAACAAAACCAUGUUGCUUUAUAUUCUAUAAAUGUCCCAUGAGUAGUUCAAAAUAGUAUAUAUUUUAAAUGUGUACAUUUUAGCCUCUGUGUAUGAAUUUGCUGAAUAUACAGAUUAAGCCAAAAACAUCAUUUAUCAUUCUUUACUGCUAAGUCUUAUGUAUUUCUAGGGACAAAACAUCCAACAUCACCUAGAAAUCACUACAGGUUCAUACACAAACACACACAAGCGCACACACGCACGCACACCUCAGUAGGUUAAAGGUUUUCCAGUGACAAACAGUGCUCAAACAUUAAUACAUUUCAACACUGGACUCCUUGUCCAGUGCCCUGGAAGAAGGAUUGAAAACUCACAUGUUUUCAUGCCCUUUUUUAAAGGACUAAGCUAAGACAACAGAGGAUAUUCAGACCAAAGACUGGGUCCAGGCCCAAAGUAUUAAAAACAAACAAAAAAAAAAGGUACCACAUGACAUUGGCCAAACUGAACUUUUAACAGGUCAAUCAUGUCUACCACUUUGUUGUCACAGCUUGAGCAUAACUUCUGCUUUUUCUGAAUUCUUCAAGAAACACCUUGAAAGGAACAGAGUAUAAGAAUAGCAAAGGGAUGCAUCUGAGUCGUCCACCCACACACCCUCUGUAUAUCCCAGACUUAAAUGUGCCUUUUGGAAUUGAGGCACAAAUAAGCGUUAAGCCCUUUUCCCUCCCUCUCCUCUCCAAAACAGCAGUCAGGCCUUCUCUGCGAAGGCUGUCUUGGGCCUUGUCCUGCCUCCUUUCAUCUCCCAGCCUCCCCCUGCUCACAUCCUAGAAAGUUUACCUUUCUUUGCAUCCUCCACACCCUCCAGUCCCAUUUGCCUGUGGGCUUCACUGUCCCAGAAAUCAAGGGACAAGUGCAUAGAAUCCUAAUGAGAGAUGGUGGAUAAAGGUCGGGGCCCAGAAAAUAAAAGCCUUUGCGCUCAAUGGUGUUCACCAGGGAAAAGAGUAGGAAGAUGCUUUCAGUGAGCUUUAUAUCUACUAUGGUGACAAAUGGGAUUAUUUUCUACUAAAGCUUCUGAAAUACCGCCAUUAAAAAAAAAAAAAAAAAAAAAAAAA
Molecule: long non-coding RNA, 4452 nt
Filed under: Sus scrofa (pig)
Lineage: Eukaryota; Metazoa; Chordata; Mammalia; Artiodactyla; Suidae
Description: lncRNA (ENSSSCG00065040919.1)
Source: RNAcentral